This 5125-nucleotide long non-coding RNA is filed under the name Marmota monax (woodchuck). Lineage: Eukaryota; Metazoa; Chordata; Mammalia; Rodentia; Sciuridae. The record is from RNAcentral.
UUUCAAUGUUCUAGUUACUUUUAUAAGCAUUUUCUAUCUUAAGAUUAUAUUCUUCAGUCCUGAGUGCUUUUUCCCCUCUUAUAUAAUUUCCUCUGUUAUCUCUUUCUGAAGCUUAUAUUACUUAUAUAUUGGAUCUCAGAUAUUGUCUAUUUUUAAAAAUGUAUCUUAUAUUCACUUCUGAUACUUCUAAUACUUCUAAUACUUCCAGUAUUUCUAUUAAACUUUUACUUUUCUAUCAUCAUAUUUUUAAUUCCCAAGAGCUUUAAUUGGUGGGGAGGAGAGUACUCAAUUCUAAAAUUUCUCUUCUUAUAGUAUCCUGUUCUUAUUUCACAAAUAUAGUAUCAUCUCUUUUUUUAUCUGAGAAUUUUAACUUACAUAAUUUGUAGAGCUAGAUGAAUCCUUUGAUCAUUUAGUACUAUUCCUCCAUAGACUCGUGUAUAGGUUAGCCCCUCUCCCCUCAACUUAAAAACAAAACCCUAUCUCAAAGAAUAAAAAAGAACUAGUGAUGUAGCUCAGUGGUAAAGUACCCUUAGAUUCAAGUAACAGGGAGGGAGAGGAAAGAAGAGGAGAGGAGAGGAGAGGGGAGAGGAGGGGAGGGGUGGAGAGAAGAAGAGAGGUAUUUUGGUUUAUGCCAGGCUGUUCUCAGCCAAGCCUCCAUGUCCACAGUUCUAGUGGCAAUGACUGAGAAGCACUAUACCCAGACCAUUAUAUAUUAAACAACCCCAGUGAGACCAAAGCAGAAAUGGUCUCAGGAAUAUUCAGAAGAGUGGACUUUCAUCCUGAGUCUGAGUUAGAUCUGAAAAGGUGUUUUCAUGAUUAGCAGGGUAGCUAUUCUGAAAUUAGAACAAUAUUGUGCUUUGUACGAGACAAACAAGAUGGCAGGUAAAGGUAGGGGGAGGAGACAGAAAAAUAAUAGUAUGACAGAUUAAAGAGAUAGUUUGAAUCAAAGAGAGUGGAAGGAAAUAUUAUAGUUAAGGCUUGUAAGCUGAGGAAAGAAAAGAAUCUCAAUAGAAUUGUGCUUAAUGAAGGAACAUGUUUGGUGAGAACUUGAGAAAUAAUUAUGAAUUCAGUAAGGUGAUGACAGUUUCAUCCCUAGAAAUUCUACUUAGAGUCCUACUAGCUUAAGAUCUUCCAAAUCUAUUGUGGCUGUUACAUGCCAUCAAAUUUGAGAUAAGGCAGCAAGUGAGGGGACAUGAAGUAAAAAGAUAUAAAAGACACAGGAAAUAGCAAGGGACAAAUAGGAAUGGCUAGUUUAAAAUGAAUAAUAGGGUCAAUUUAGUUUAGUAUUUAUUGAGUGCCUGUUAUGCAUAAGGCUUUAUUGUACACAGUUGGGGAACAGAGAUAAUAAGACCAGGGGCUGGGAUUUCCAAGAGUUUAUAGUCCUCUUUGAAGAUGCCCAAGAAGGUAAAAUCCAUAGUAGAAAAUUUAGUGACUAAUGACAUGCUUUCCAAUUAAGAGGUCUUUGAAAGCAGAGCAUGGAAUUGUUCCCAUAGUACAUAUUAUCUGGUCCCUUCACAGGCUGAAAACUUUACCAGCAUAAACAGUGAUAUAGCUGUUCUAUAAUUAAUGAUCACCUGUCAGAAUGCACAGAGGAAGAAGUGGUACAGAUUUGGAGAGUUACCUUUACCUUCAGAAAAUGCAGAAAUUCUUUCCUAAAUUCUAUUGCCAAGACAUUCUCUAGAAGUAUUAGGAAAGUAUUUUUUCCCAAUAUAAUCUCUUAGAGAGAAAUGCUGUGAUAUUAUACUUUUCCAUCUUAAUUGAAUUUUCUUCUAGACAGCUUGACAUGAUGAAGGGUAUCCCUGAGGCCCUAAUUUAUUCAAGAUUAAUAAGUACAUCAUUGCAAGUGGGUAGUGAAUAUCUUGCAAAUGGUUAUUGCAAAAUAAUUAGUUGUACAUGUGUUCAAAGAGCUCUCAUUGCCUUAAAAUCUUGGGGCUUUUUAUUUGUAUUUUUCAAUAGAAAGAAAACAUACAUGCCUGUAAUCCCAGCGACUCAUGUGACUGAGGCAAAUUCAAGGCAAGCUUCAGCAACUUAGUGAGAUCCUAUCUUAAAAUAAAGAAUAAAAAGGGAUGGGGAUGUAGUUUGGUGGUAAAACAACCCUGGGUUCAUAGUAACAUUAAAGUGGAAAAAGAGUUAAGACAAAACUUCAGUUUUGCUAUAGUUUGGGUCUGGAAUGCUCCCUAAAUGCCUGUGUGUUCAAGGCUUGGUCCCCAACUUGGUGCUACUGAAGGUAGUGGAACCUUUAAGAGGUGGGGCCUAGUGGGAUGUCUUUAGGUUACUGGAGGUGUGCCCUUGAGGAGGAUUGUGGAAGCCCAGCCCCUGUCACAUCUUAGCUAUUAAGAGUAGUUUUGUUCUGACCAUGAUUUGCUGCCACAGGCCCAAAGCAACCAAGCAGAAUGAAACCUCUGAAUCUGUGAGCCAAAAUAAACUUAUCCCAAGUUGAUUAUCUCAGACAUUUGCUAUAGUAAGGUAACACCUCACAAGAUCUUCUACUAUUAAGUAGAUUUCAUAAUAAAUAAAUUUAAGUUAUUAAUGGCCUUUUCUCAAACAGGAAUAACUGCUAGAGAUGGGAUUUUUCUACUGAAAACUGAUUACAUUAAAGAGUUGCUAGAGACAUUUAGUGAUAAGCCAUCUAAAACCCUGCUGUGUCUAAUUACACCACAUGAAGUCCACCAAUCUACAAGCCAAGUUCAUAGACCAUGUACAUUAUCCUCAACCAUGAACAUUUUAAUAAAGCUUGCAAUGUGAAAUGAAGAGCCAAAAAUUAUAGAAAAGGUCACUUUAAAAAUAAACACACAUGGGGCUGGGGUUGUGGUUCAGUGAUAGAGCACUUGCAUGUGUGAGGUACUGGGUUCGAUUCUCAGCACCACAUAAAUAAAUAAAUUAAAUAAAGGUCUAUCAAUGUCCAAAAAAGUAUUUGAAAGAAACCACACACUUUGUAGGUAACUGAAAAAAAAUCUCUUAAAAUGUUGAAAAAAUACAGAGCUAAAAUUCUCAGAUAAAAAAGAGAUGAUACUAUAUUUGUGAAAUAAGAACAGGAUGCUAUAAAAAGAAAAUUGAGUACUCUCCUCCCCCACCAAUGGAAGCUCUUGGGAAUUAAAAAUAUCAUGGUAGGAAAGUAAAGUUUAAUAGACUAGAAGUUCUAUUAGAAGUGAAAUAUAAGAUAUAUAUUUUUUAAAAUAGAAGAUAUCAAAGAUCCAAUAUCUAAGUAAUGUAAGCUUCAGAAAGAGAUAACAGAAAAAAAUAUAUAAGAGAGAAAAAAACCACUCAGGACUGAAGAGUAUAAUUUUAAGAGAAAAUGCUUAUAAAGUAUCUAGACCAAUGGAAAAAAAAAGCCCCAACACCAAAUUACAGCAUCACUAAAUACCAGAGUAUAAGGAAUAAAGGAAAUCCUACAAAAUUCCAGAAUUCCAACAAAGUCCAAGGGAUCUAGAAUUAGAAUGGCAUCAAUUUCUCAAUAGCAUCCAAAUAAAGUGGAAGAAAAUGAAGAAAUGUGCUCAAAAUUUGGAAAGAGAAUUAUUUCCAAUUAAUAUCCCAAACCAUUAAUCCGGUGUGAAGGAAGCAAAGUGGCAUCUUAAAUGUGCAAGGUCUCAAAAAGCAGCUGGGUCUUUGGGAGACUGAGACUCAUAUGAUUUUGGGAGCCCUCUUUAAAAAAAGACUUAAAAUUACAAAUACAAAAUUAGGAAUAAAAGUGAAUAUUUAUUUAGAAUGAGAAAAGAAAUCAUAACAAACUAGGACCAUGGAGAGAUCUUUCUUUUUAAUAUCUCUUUAGAAAAUUUAUCUAAAAUGCUUCUUUAUGGCAACCUGGUUUUCUCUUUCACUGGGCAACUAGAAGCAAUUCACGGUACUCUUAGGGGCUCCAUGAGCUUUCUCAGUUCCUUGGUAAAUGUGCCUCUGCCUCCAUAUGCUGUUUAUCAGAAAGCUAUGUUUCAGUAAAACCAAGGAUAUGGUAUCUAAGAAAUGGGAAUUCAGCAUGCUUCCCAGCGUGGCAGUGAGGGGAAGUGCAGUAUAACUAGGAGCCUGAGAAUAACCAGUCUCUGAGAAUAGAGGACUGACUGGGGAUGUUUUCCAGAGAAAAAAUCAGAGUGAUUGAUUACUUUGAUUACUUGAUGUUUAUUGGAGAGUUAUGUAUUCUGUCAAACUUUAAGCAGGAAUUGGUGAUGGGUAUUCAAAACCCUAUGCAACUGAAGAAAAUGUCUAACCUAUACACAUCUUCCUGUAUAUUUAGACUGCUUAAAAACCUAAUACAAUACAAAUAGUAUGUACAUAAUUGUUAUACUGUUUUGUUCAGGGAAAAAUGACAUGGAAAAAAAGCCUGUACAUGUUCAAUAUGUAUAAUUGUGUGUGUGUGUGUGUGUACAUAUGAUACUAUAUAUAAUAUUCUAUAUAUAUAAUAUAAUAUUAGGGGAACUUUUUAAAAUUGUAUAAAUAUAUAUAAAAUAUAUAUUAUGUAUUAUAUGUAAUAUAUAAUAGAUACAUAAUUUUUUUGCAGUGCUGGGGAUUGAAUCCAGGUAUCCAGUGCUUUACCACUGAGUUACAUCCUUAGCCCUUUUCAUUUUGAGACAGGAUCUCAUUAAAUUGCCUGAGAUGGUUUUUAACUUACAAUCUUCCUGUCUCAACCUGAGGAGAGACUGGGAUUACAGGUGAACUCUACCCCAUUCUGCUGUAUAUUUAUAAUACCUUUGAUCUGUGGUUGAUUUUAUCUGUACAUGGGGAACCCCAGAAAUGGAAGUCUGACUGUAGUCAGCAUUUCUUGGGGAUAGACCUCAGAUUCUACAAUUUUAAAAAGUUCCCCUAGUCUCACGCAUUAUCUAUUGCUUUUUUAUAAAACAAACAAAAAUCAAACCAACCAAAUGACUCAUUUAGAAACAAGGAGUCUCUGACUCAUAAAGUAUAUUAUGGUGAUACUGCUAGUUGUUCACUCCCAAUAUGCAUUUACCUCUUCCUUAUUGACAGAAUUCCAGUUUUGCUGUACUGAUGACACAACCAAGCCAAACAGUAGAUUUUCCUAGCUUCCCUUCCAGUUGGAGUGGCUAUGUGACAUAGUUUCAGUCUAUGAAAUAUAAGAAUUCUACUGGGUGGAGUUUCCAGGAAAGAUAUUAAUUAAUAACAAUAAUUAAUAUUAAAA